GCUUGGUUGAAAAGCCAGUGG
Molecule: small nuclear RNA, 21 nt
Filed under: Arabidopsis thaliana (thale cress)
Lineage: Eukaryota; Viridiplantae; Streptophyta; Magnoliopsida; Brassicales; Brassicaceae
Description: snRNA_13718
Source: RNAcentral